RNAcentral lists this ribosomal RNA (538 nucleotides) under uncultured Pleosporales. Its description in RNAcentral is "bacterial SSU rRNA". It matches the Rfam family "Eukaryotic small subunit ribosomal RNA", at positions 34 to 535 of the family's 1831-position model. Lineage: Eukaryota; Fungi; Ascomycota; Dothideomycetes; Pleosporales. The record is from RNAcentral.
UGGGGCCUCAUUAAAAUUAAAAAAGCAUGUCUAAAAUAAGCAAUUAUACCGUGAAACUGCGAAAUGGCUCAUUAAAUCAGUUAUCGUUUAUUUGAUAGUACCUACCAACUACUUGGAUAACCGUGGUAAUUCUAGAGCUAAUACAUGCUAAAAACCCCGACUUCGGGAGGGGUGUAUUUAUUAGAUAAAAAACCAAUGCCCCUCGGGGCUUCUUGGUGAUUCAUGAUAACUUAACGGAUCGCAUGGCCUUGCGCCGGCGACGGUUCAUUCAAAUUUCUGCCCUAUCAACUUUCGAUGGUAAGGUAUUGGCUUACCAUGGUUUCAACGGGUAACGGGGAAUUAGGGUUCGAUUCCGGAGAGGGAGCCUGAGAAACGGCUACCACAUCCAAGGAAGGCAGCAGGCGCGCAAAUUACCCAAUCCCGACGCGGGGAGGUAGUGACAAUAAAUACUGAUACAGGGCUCUUUUGGGUCUUUAAUCGGAAUGAGACAAUACCCCCCUCUUCGUGCCCUAUUAUUUUUCUUACUUCUCUUACUUUG